AGCGGCGAACGGGUGAGUUUACGAAGGUGAUCUGCCCAUCAGACGGGGACAACGAUUGGAAACGAUCGCUAAUACCGGAUAGGACGAAAGUUUAAAGGUGCUUCUGGCACCGCUGAUGGAUGAGCCUGCGGCGCAUUAGCUAGUUGGUAGGGUAAAGGCCUACCAAGGCGACGAUGCGUAGCCGACCUGAGAGGGUGAACGGCCACACUGGGACUGAGACACGGCCCAGACUCCUACGGGAGGCAGCAGUAGGGAAUCUUCGGCAAUGGGCGAAAGCCUGACCGAGCAACGCCGCGUGAAUGAUGAAGGCCUUCGGGUUGUAAAAUUCUGUUAUAAGGGAAGAACGACUUUAGUAGGAAAUGGCUAGAGUGUGACGGUACCUUAUGAGAAAGCCACGGCUAACUACGUGCCAGCAGCCGCGGUAAUACGUAGGUGGCGAGCGUUAUCCGGAAUUAUUGGGCGUAAAGAGCGCGCAGGUGGUUGAUUAAGUCUGAUGUGAAAGCCCACGGCUUAACCGUGGAGGGUCAUUGGAAACUGGUCGACUUGAGUGCAGAAGAGGGAAGUGGAAUUCCAUGUGUAGCGGUGAAAUGCGUAGAGAUAUGGAGGAACACCAGUGGCGAAGGCGGCUUCCUGGUCUGUAACUGACACUGAGGCGCGAAAGCGUGGGGAGCAAACGGGAUUAGAUACCCUGGUAGUCCACGCCGUAAACGAUGAGUGCUAAGUGU
Molecule: ribosomal RNA, 725 nt
Filed under: uncultured bacterium
Lineage: Bacteria
Description: bacterial SSU rRNA
Rfam family: Bacterial small subunit ribosomal RNA
Source: RNAcentral